RNAcentral lists this long non-coding RNA (211 nucleotides) under Elaeis guineensis (African oil palm). RNAcentral describes it as "long non-coding RNA (EGUI_LNC058535)". The record is from RNAcentral. Lineage: Eukaryota; Viridiplantae; Streptophyta; Magnoliopsida; Arecales; Arecaceae.
CAUCUGAACUUCUCCAACAGUCGACCUUCCACAGUGUCCUCCAGAUUCCUCCAACGGAUGAACUCCCAUCGUGCCAUCCGGACUUCUUCAAUAAUGAGCUCCUCCAUUCAUCUACUGGACUGCUCCAAACGCUCUCUGAGCUUCACUAUCAGCCAAUUUUCUACAGUGAUCGACCAUUCUCUGAAUCUUUUUCCAAACUUCUUCCAGCCAC